Molecule: long non-coding RNA, 1476 nt
Filed under: Homo sapiens (human)
Lineage: Eukaryota; Metazoa; Chordata; Mammalia; Primates; Hominidae
Description: novel transcript
Source: RNAcentral
CAGGUGAUCUGCCCACCUCGACCUCCCAAAGUGCUGGGAUUACAGGCGUGAGCCACCGCGCCCGGCCAGCAUAUAUACUUUUAAAACAAGAGCUUAAAAAUUUGGGGAUGGAAAUAAACAAGAGAAUGAGAUAGAAAAGGCCGGAAGAGAUAGGAAAUGCUGUAGGAACACUUAAGGAUUGUGGCUAAAAAAGCUGUGAUAUGAAGUCAGGGCGUCAGUUCACUUGAGGGAGGAACUUUUUGUGUGUAACUCCCAGCCCUGCCACUUGCUGCCAUGUGCCUACCAUGAUGGGUUGUGUGGGUGAACUUAGGUAGCACAUGGCAUUGGCGACACCCAGCCACACAGAUCUAGGAGCUGCCAUUCACGUCCUCAUCGCUGCAAAUGCAGUGUGCACCCUGUGCAGGACACCUUGCAGCCCAGGAUGACACAAAGUGGAUGCUAGAUAAACAUUAGCGGCAAUCAGUGACACUGUAUGAAACUCCCCAUCAUGGUGGAAACUUGUACUGAGAAAAGAUGGCCACUUCUCAGGGUCAUUGUAGCAAACAGCAAAGGUAGAGGCUUGAAUGUGAUGUCCUUGGAGUGGCCAUCCCAUGAUAACUUAUAAAUCUUUUAUUUUAUCACUGUUAUUACCCCUUCUACCAUAUUCCCUAUUUCUAACUCAUUGUCCCUUCUUUCUUUCCUGUUAAAACCUUUCUGCCCUUGAGCAAAGCAAAGGUAAGUUCUCACUUGUUUUCCCACUUAGUUCUAUGUCAACCAAGACCUGUUUGUUUCUGCCAGUAAGUUACUUCCUAGGGCCUGUGAAAUAACGUGGACUUUGAGUGUGGCUCUUUUGACAGAGCAAUAGCACCACCUGCUACCACCUACUAGAAAUGUCGUCUUGUAGAACAAAGAAAUACGCACGCCCUGCUGUUCUGCAAUCAGGCUCUGACAGAAGCUUUCAGGUGUGGUGCUUACAAGAUCAGACUCAUUGACUCACUCACUUCUCCCUGCUCCGUCACUACACUCCCAGGACAAGAUAUUUUGCUUAACAAAUAAUGACUACAUCCAACCAGAUAAGGAUACAAACAAGCACAUUCUUCCACUAUCAGUCCUCACCAGAGGACUCUGUGGCCAUAAAAAGAGUAAGGCUUCAGCAGCUCAACACAACUGACGCAGUCCUGCUAUCAGUUGCGAUAAGCACCUGGCAUCUGCCUACAAAGGCUCUGCCCACAUCAAAGACUCUUCCUUGCGAGACUGAGGGACUGCCCAGGCCAAGCCAGGAGAUUCUUUUUGUCUUCGUUGUUCUCCCUGCAAUGGUUCAUUAACUCUUUUUUCUCUCCCUUUUCUCUUGAUGUUAAAUGUUACUUUGUGAGCUGUGGAAUGUUUAACAUGUAUAUAGUGACCACGUAUUCUAUUACAUAUGGUUUUCAGUAUUAACUGACUUGUGGAGUGGCUUGAGCCUGUGUGCCCGCUAUUCUCACUACCGAGUGAAUGGGA